This is a long non-coding RNA of Saccostrea cuccullata (small rock oyster), 2431 nucleotides long. RefSeq lists it as uncharacterized. Lineage: Eukaryota; Metazoa; Mollusca; Bivalvia; Ostreida; Ostreidae. The record is from RefSeq and is a predicted model, not a curated record. The transcript has 4 exons.
AGAUUUUACUGCAGCAUGGCUACACAGAGAUUUCAGCUUGUGGUCGAAGGACAGACCAGCUCCAACAUAUUGCUUAUAUUGCAGGAGAAACAACAUGCAGCCUAGCCAAGAAAUUCAACUGCUAUGUUUUUGAAGCCAGAACAAAUGAGGAGGCUAAAUUUGCUCUUUGUGCCAUUGCUCAAGGUUUUGAAAGAACACACCUGCUGUUGUGAUCAAAGAAAGGCAACUGUGCUUCCACCCAAAAAAUAUAUUUAAUUUUUUUUUUACAUUUUUGUUACUUGUUGGUAGAUUUGGUUAAGGUUUAUUGUUAUAUUUUGCCUAUAUUUAUGCUUUAUUUCUAUCAUUUUGUGAAAAUGGUGCUUUUUGUUUUUUGUAAUAAAAAUACUUGAUUUAUUAACAUGGUUAGGAGAAUAUGUUCCCUAGGAAUUUAAAAGAAAUAAAACCAAUUUUUUUUCCUCUUUUUUGUAAAGGAAUUUAAUCUAGUUGUUCCUGAUUUAGAGGUGCACAUUUGCAUAUAUCAAAUAAUUUGCUGUUAUUGUUAAUAAGAGGUAUUUUGGAAUAAUUCCAUAAUUUCUUUAAAAUUAUUUGUACAAUUUAAUAGCAGUUCAAAAAAUGAAAGUUUUAUCCCAUGUGAUUAUAAAUGAAACUCAUUUGAAUUUAUAAUUGUGAGAUUCAUGGCUACUAAGUUUGGAUGUAACUGUCAUAUGAUUGAAGUAUAAAAGACAUGAUGGAUGUUUGUGAAAUUUUCGAACAGCCCAUGUUUAUUUUAGCUUAUAUUACGCUGAAUUUGUACUGUAGGCGUACUUUUUUCCACGGGGUCAUGAUUCCGCAGAAUCUCCAUUUCUGUUCAAUCCAUUGGUAGCAUAUUAUGCGCAUAUCUUAAGACUCUCCUUAUAUGCCUUUUAUAUGCAUUAAGUUCGAUGUGACAAAUUUGUAGCUGCAUACAUAGCGUAAAUUAAUAUCACGCAGAAAAAAGUACUUCUACAGUAUUUGGUAGAAUAUGUCCUCAAAUACCUUGUAAUAAAAAUCAAUGCAAUACUCAAGUCACACAAUUUCAUAUUGUUAAAAAAAAACAAACUAUUUUAUGAUUCGUACAGAAAGAAAUCUUUUGAUAAUUCAUUUUUUUUACUCCUAUAUAGAAAUUAAUGACUGAUGCAUGAAUUUCAUGUUUCCAUAGAUGAAAUAAAUAUGUAUAAAUAUCUAAAAAGCUCUCAACUGCUGAAAAACAUUAAUUUCCUCGGGAGUUUUCAAUGGGCAUAAAUGUAUGUAUAUAUACAAAUGGUUGUGAACAAUAUGAUUUGAUUUUUAUUUUUAUGUCCAUGUGUUUGAAUGGAAUCUCAUCUCAAGAAUUAGUUUUGCACAGUAAAACUGUCAUGUUUUUAUAAUUUUUACAAAAUAUUAUGACAUUAAAUAUAGAGAUGUGAUAAUAUUGGAAAUUACAUUUUUGGGGGAUAUCAAGACUUUUGGUGUAGCAAUAAUCAUUUUGAUUAUAUAUGUACAUUUACAUCACUGUAUGUUAAAAAAAAUACAGUAAAACUCGGUUAUAACUAAGUCACUGGGACCUAUGGAAUUACUUUUCUAUUAUCCGUAAUUCAUUAUAUCCAUAGAAGGCAUUCAUUAAAUAUUUAUAGCUGGGGAUUAAAGAUAACUAUGCUAUAUCCAUAAUUUGUUAUGUAUAAGGAUUUUUUUGUUUAUAUAGUUGGGGAUUCAAGAUAACUUUGCUUUAUCCAUGAAUUUGCAAUAUCCAUGUUCGUUCUAAAUGAAUUUUACUUACACUGUUAAUAUAUGUAUAAAUUAAUUAACUUUUUUUUUUUAAAUGUUGACAUUGCAUUUUGCUGGCAUGUGAAAACCAAAUGAAGUGAGUUCUGCAAGCAUAAGAAAAAUAAUCAAAUUUACUUGGAGAUCGAGAAUAAUUUUUUUUAUCAUUAUUUUUUUCUUUUUUUGCAAAUACAUGUAGAUAUUUUAUAAUGAUGAAAAUAGUUAUCUAUAUAUAUUAUAUGGUGCAAAGAUAUCACAUAAUUUGAUAUUUCUUAUUUAGUUUCACCAUGCAGGCAGAGACAAAUUCUCUUAAUCUGUCAUCAAAUUCACCUGUUUUUAAAUUAAUUCAUGUCAUAUUGUCCAAAGAACUGCAUUUAAAAAAAACUCAAUAAUUCUUGGUCUUGGAAAUCCAGCAAUUUUAUGAAGGAUGGAGAGAAAUGUCAUAAUCACAGAAUGAACAAAAUGACUUUUGGUUGUAAAUUAAUAUUAGUGUAUAUUUAGUUGAUAAUUCAGAUCUUCCAAUCACCUUACGUUCCCUACAAAAUGUUAGAAUUUUUUUGUUUUUUAUAUUUCACUUAUUUCACCAACAGAUAGUGUUCAUUAUAUUUUCUUGUUACCUUAUUUAUUUUUUGUUGAGGGAUAUGACAUAUAUUAAUUUAUGUAUUUAUUAAAA